This 328-nucleotide ribosomal RNA is filed under the name uncultured eukaryote. Its description in RNAcentral is "partial 18S ribosomal RNA". It matches the Rfam family "Eukaryotic small subunit ribosomal RNA", at positions 1470 to 1796 of the family's 1831-position model. The record is from RNAcentral.
CCCCUAGAUGUCCUGGGCCGCACGCGCGUUACACUGAUGCAUUCACCGAGCUUAUAACCUUGGCCGAGAGGCCUGGGCAAUCUUGUUAACGUGCAUCGUGAUAGGGAUAGAUUAUUGAAAUUAUUAAUCUUGAACGAGGAAUUCCUAGUAAACGCAGAUCAUCAAUCUGCAUUGAUUACGUCCCUGCCCUUUGUACACACCGCCCGUCGCACCUACCGAUUGGAUGGUCCGGUGAAGCCUCGGGAUUGUGGUUCUUGCCGCUUUAUUGUGGCGUGACCGCGAGAACUUGUCUAAACCUUAUCAUCUAGAGGAAGGUGAAGUCGUAACA